RNAcentral lists this ribosomal RNA (492 nucleotides) under uncultured bacterium. RNAcentral describes it as "partial 16S ribosomal RNA". It matches the Rfam family "Bacterial small subunit ribosomal RNA", at positions 29 to 507 of the family's 1533-position model. The record is from RNAcentral.
AGUGAACGCUGGCGGUAGGCCUAACACAUGCAAGUCGAACGGCAGCACAGUAAGAGCUUGCUCUUACGGGUGGCGAGUGGCGGACGAGUGAGGAAUACAUCGGAAUCUACUUUUUCGUGGGGGAUAACGUAGGGAAACUUACGCUAAUACCGCAUACGACCUACGGGUGAAAGCAUGGGAUCUUCGGACCUUGCGCGAUUGAAUGAGCCGAUGUCGGAUUAGCUAGUUGGCGGGGUAAAGGCCCACCAAGGCGACGAUCCGUAGCUGGUCUGAGAGGAUGAUCAGCCACACUGGAACUGAGACACGGUCCAGACUCCUACGGGAGGCAGCAGUGGGGAAUAUUGGACAAUGGGCGCAAGCCUGAUCCAGCCAUACCGCGUGGGUGAAGAAGGCCUUCGGGUUGUAAAGCCCUUUUGUUGGGAAAGAAAAGCAGCAGGUUAAUACCCCGCUGUUCUGACGGUACCCAAAGAAUAGGCACCGGCUAACUUCGUG